UACUGGCUCUGAAAGUCCUGGU
Molecule: microRNA, 22 nt
Filed under: Branchiostoma lanceolatum (amphioxus)
Lineage: Eukaryota; Metazoa; Chordata; Leptocardii; Amphioxiformes; Branchiostomatidae
Description: Bla-Mir-193-P1i2_3p (mature (guide))
Source: RNAcentral